Molecule: non-coding RNA, 4935 nt
Organism: Xyrichtys novacula (pearly razorfish)
Lineage: Eukaryota; Metazoa; Chordata; Actinopteri; Labriformes; Labridae
Source: the annotation of a GenBank genome assembly
AGGUAAUACUCCGCUGACAACGCCAUUACGGCUCUGACAGUUAUGGACAUUUUCCCACAGAGCACCUCACCCAUAAACCUGUGACGAACACCUCAAUGUACGGUAUGUGAAGAGCGCCAUUGUGAGGAACCUCUGCUGAGAAAUAUGUAUUGAUGAUCCUGUCAGACUGGUCGCAUGUCGGAGACGUGGUUCUUAGAUUACUUUGAAAUGAUGGCGACAAAUUCCUCCGUGUAAUUCUGCAAACUAUGACUUAAAACUUUCGCUUACAUGUGCACAAAUAAUCGUGAUAAAACAGCGUCAUGUAAAUAUGUUGAUCGAAAAUUCUGAUCCAAUUCUGCUGAACCAGGAUCUCACUUUGUACUAAAAUACUGACAUUAAUGACUCCCAGUCAGAAAUAAAGGCCUGUCUCUAAUACAAGCCUACCUCAUAUACAGGCCUGGUACUUUCUGCAGUAAAAGCAAAUAUAAGACCUGGAAAGAAACUGUAUUCCGAUCAAGCGUGGUGGUUUAUGCGUCCAUGUAAACACCAAUUCCGAUCGUGACUCUCUAACCUGACUCCGUCUUCAUUCUUUAGUUAUUGAGGUCAGUACAGAAGGUUUCAUUAUUAACACUCUGACAUAAAACACAACAACAGGCGCCGUGUCUGCUCCUCCGCUAACAUUACAAUGUGUACAAACAGCGUAAUGACGUCAUAUCUGCCACACAGUGCAAACUUUGACAGAACAGUAAAAUAGGUAAGCAAGGGCGCCAUCUAGUGACAAUAUUUAACAGAGGGGAAAACUCCUAAAUUGAGUGAGCCACUAUGGUGUAGGGCCCGACUGAUAUGGAUCUUUUGGGGCCGAUGCUGAUACCGAAUAUUAGGGGGGAAAAAAUCUUUUAAAUUUUUUCAUUAAGUUACAAAAAAUAUGAAUUUAUACUGUAGAUAUCUAUGGUAUACUAUAUACUGUAAAUAUACUGUAGGCUACUGCAAAGUCAGGGAACUUUUCAAAUGGUGGAACAUUUUCAAAGUGAAAUCUAAUCUUAUUCUCCUCAUUAUAUUUCUGAAAAUAUUGGCGAAAAAUCGGCGAGUUUUGGCCGAUCACCGAUUAGUCUCAAAUGGGUUAAAAUUGGCUGAUUUGCAACACCAGUCCCGCCGCUCCACCUGUGCCACACUAGAUUAAUAUGUGGUGGUUCUUGUCUUCACAUCUUGUCUGUUUUAUACACAGUCAGUCCUAAUCUAGCAACUAACAACAUUAAAGCAGCAAUCCCUCUUAUUUUCAUGAUUUUGUUUUUAUACAACUUUUACUUGUUACCUGUACAGGUGCCCCCUGCUGGCCAUCAGAAGAACAAAAAUUUUGCAGCAUAACAUCUCUCCACGUUUCUAACAGGGUCUGUCCAGCUCCUGAUUUGUAUCCGCGCAGCAUUUCCGCAGAUUACGAUGCAAUAAAUGAGGCAUUUCUUUCAUUACCUCUGAAGAAUAAUUUGAUCUCCGUGUUUUAAAGGUCAGACAGACUUCUUUAAGCCUGUUUCAUGAGGGGCUUUGAGACUGAAUUACUUCCACAUUCUCUAUCCAUCAGAGGUUGGAACUAUUAACCACCGCUGACCUUCCCUUUUGAUUUUCUCUGUAAUAUAGGGAGAUGGUAGAUAUUCAUUUAACUAAGCCAGAACCCUGUGUGAUUAUAUGUGACAAUUAAACUUGAACCUGAUUAACCCACACACCAGCGCUGCCACUCACGCUGGAAAUAUGUUUCACCGUCUCUCUGCGGCUGAGAACAUGACACAUACAUCAGACUCUUCCUCGUCUUUACAGAGAGGUAUACAACACUGCAAGACAUCAAAGUGAGAAAAACAAGUAUGUUGCUGCACCAACAACAUGUCACUGCUGAUACUGUACGACUGCGCAUCCUUUUGAUCAAACCAUGCUCUCACUCCAGCAUCCACCUGCAAGAUCUGAGGGUUAUUGACUGAACUACCUGCUCUGCAGAGAACAGUAUAUCCUUCUGACAGUGAUAUAAUGAAUACACUCUUUAGUGUACUGCCUGUAGAAUAAAAAUAAUGACUACAUGGGAAAGUUGAUUUAAUUUCAUGAUGUACAGAUGAAAGAAUAAACGGGUUUCUCUUGUUAAUGAGCGGUAAGUCUCCAGAACUGUUUCAGGGAGGGCUGCACGGUUUUGGUCGAGAAUAAAAUCCAGAUAUUUUCUCUGAAAAUGCAAUUUUCAAUUUUUAAUUCAGUGACAACUUCACCAAACUUCACUUUAAUAAUAAAAGUUUUUCCAUCAUCUCUCAAAAUAAAAACAUUGAAAACGAUGUAGUGCGUACGCCAAGCUAUGAAAUCAGAUUUCUGUCAAAAAUAAUCAAACAAAACUUUUUCAACAUCAAACAAAAAUAAAACUUUGAGAGAGAAUAAAACUCACAAAGUCAUUUCAAAAGUAAAACUUGUAACUUGCAAACAAAUCCUUUGUUUGUCGCUGCCAGCUCUCUCAUUGGCUAGUGAAUUUUAGAGUGACAGCUCAGUGGAAACCCAUUUCGGCCGCUCGUAUCCGCGAUCUCGUUCUUUCGGUCAUUACCCAAAGUUCAUGGCGACAGGUGAGGAUCGGCACGUAGAUCGACCUGACGCUUUUUCCUAAUCCAUGUUACAGCCAUCAUGCUACUUCAACUGAGACCAGCAUGCACUUUGAUUAAACCCAUCGCUAUAUUCCUCAAGUUGAGGAGUUACUCAGACAUUUGUGAUUUGUUUGGCCUGAAAAUGUUGGAAUAAAAGUCUAAGAGUCAAAAGUUUGAUAUUGAAAUGACUACAGUUAUUUAUUCCCCACAUUGAAAUGAUAACAAUAUGACUUCAGCUGCAUUAAGGUGCUCCUAAAUAAAAGAGCAUACUGCAGUUGGAGCCGUUUAAGGGUCUCACAGGAUAAGAUAAGUGCCUCUAAAACUGAGAAUAAGAUCAUUCAGCCUGUUCUGUUUGUUAUAAGAUAAACGGUAUAAAUGCCCCGAGCAGUUUUCACAUGACAAUGGAGAAUAAAUCUUCCUGAGUAUGAAAUAUAAGACUCAAACUCAUCAGAGUGAGUGUAAUAUUACUGAGGAUUAUAGAUAUGAGAGCUCUGACAGCGGUAUGAUCAUAUUUCAGGUCUCGCCGCUAAUGUGGACUCGUUUCUUUUCUCCCAGGAUCAGGCGAGUCAUCUUUUUGGAUGGAUGACAUUUUGGAAACACUGCCUUUAAAUGCUGAGCACGCAGUUUUUUAAUGUAAAACCGUUCCUCUCUCCGGGGAAAUUACUGUACAUUUUAUCUUUAAGGCAAAUAUUACUGCGACUCAUCCUUCUCGGACUUAAUGAGAUUUUUUAAUGCAGCUUCACACGCGUGGUAAUUGUCAAACCUCUGAAUCUAGUCACAGUUUGUUCCUCCCUGCUGCUGCUGUCUGAAGUUUUAAACCCUGAAACCAUGCAGUCUGGUUCAAUCUAUCAACCCAAAUAAGGGCUGUAUUAUUUUAUCAACCCUGGUUUUCAUUCAUAACCUCAGGUAAAUGAACGGAAAUCAACCGGUGACCAUAAGCAGACCAAGUCCAGGUCAAUGAUAAUGAUCCGCAGUCCCUUGGGACUCCGUUAACAUGCUCUAUUUGCCUCAGCUUAUUGAGUAAAGACUGCCGGAGCUUAGCUUCAUCGCUUCUCCUUCGGCUGAGCAGCAAAGACUUCUAACAUAUGUUCAAUACUCUAAUGAGGUCUGACGCUUCCCAUUCAUUAUCACGUUUAACGCCUGAAAUUGAAAGACGGAGCGUCAGGUCGUCGAUGGAGAAGGUCGAUGUUUCGACUGCGGCACAUCCAAAGUCCCUGACCUGCUCUUAUUGGUAAACAGACUUCCAGGCGUUUUUUAAAACCCGGAGCUGCUCUGGGGCCGGUUUAUGGUGCUUACCAGGAAAUCAAUACCACUUGGUCCAACAUGACUUGUUUAGACGGACAUCAGAUCAACAACGAUUAAGGAGUCCGUCAGCCUGGACCGCUCUAUAGAAGGUGGUUUGAACUUUAUGACGUUAGCAGCUUGGCUAACGUUUGUAAGUUUGACAUAUUUGCAGAGCUUGACACUAACUUUUUUCACAAGGAGCACAUGUGAUCAAAUAAUGUUUGUCUUAUUGGUCGACAUAAGUACUAUUAUUUGAAAUCAAUUUUAGGUCAGUUUGUCACAUGACAUGGAAGCUAUAGAAGGAAAACAGCCUUUUUUGAGAACAUCAACCGGUAAUUUAUUGACGGUCCCUUAAUCAACAUGGAACUAUAAAGCACUGCUGUUGCUUUUCCCGGUUAUGGAGAGUGAGAAGACAAAUCCACAGUGAAUGUCCAUCAGAUAUCCAACCUAAAACUAACUUCGCCACAUUUUCUGAUUCGCACACAUCUAUUGUUAGUUGCAAAUGCGAAUGAAAUGGCUGCACUGUCGAGCCCUGAAUUGACUGGGAAGACUUGGAAAUCAUGGACAGAGUCUGAGUAUGAUCACCAAGGAGUUCUGGUUUCUCAAGACAUAUUAUGAAGCUUAAAAAAGACUUUUACUAGUUGAAAAUCUUGAAUCUGUAAAAUUCUCCAGUUUUCUUGCAAUUUUGACACCAAAGACAUUUCUUUUUUUUAUUCCUCCCAGGUAACUUCUUGGAUUUUGAGGCCAAAAACAAGAUAAACUCUCCCUGAAUGCACCUCAAAUCAUGUGACGACCAUACAAACAGGUGUGUGCAGCUCUGUCUACAUCUCAAGCGGUGCAGGAGAAAAGCUUGCAGAUGCGUCAUCACGUCGCUCAUCGCUCAAAAGAUGUGAUCAUGCAAAGCUGGGAUGGAUAAACAUGAUCUCUAGCAGGUCUAAGAGAGUUGAACAGGCUGUAGAGUACAGCUCAUGUGAUCUCACUUUGCAGAUCCAUCGUUUUUGCUCGCUCAGAUCCCAUUUAUGCUUUCUACAGCGAAACUCCAAGAGUCUGACUUUGUGUCAAAGAGAGG